Molecule: transfer RNA, 74 nt
Filed under: Apaloderma vittatum (bar-tailed trogon)
Lineage: Eukaryota; Metazoa; Chordata; Aves; Trogoniformes; Trogonidae
Rfam family: tRNA
About the family: Transfer RNA (tRNA) molecules are approximately 80 nucleotides in length. Their secondary structure includes four short double-helical elements and three loops (D, anti-codon, and T loops).
Source: Rfam by way of RNAcentral
UGCCUAUUAGCUCAGUUGGUUAGAGCAUGUUGCUGAUAACACCAAGGUCGCGGGUUCGAUCCCUGCUUGGUCUG